This 67-nucleotide transfer RNA is filed under the name Diatraea saccharalis (sugarcane borer). Its description in RNAcentral is "tRNA-Leu". Lineage: Eukaryota; Metazoa; Arthropoda; Insecta; Lepidoptera; Crambidae. The record is from RNAcentral.
GCUAUUUUGGCAGAAAAAUGUAAUGAUUUUAGAAAUCAUAAAUAUAUAAUUUAUUAUAUAUAUAGUA